This 1931-nucleotide long non-coding RNA is filed under the name Triticum aestivum (bread wheat). RNAcentral's name for it is "long non-coding RNA (TAES_LNC023492)". The record is from RNAcentral. Lineage: Eukaryota; Viridiplantae; Streptophyta; Magnoliopsida; Poales; Poaceae.
AACGUUUGACCAUGGAAACUGUUUGAGUUUUCGUAGAUGAACUUCAGUGAAGAAGCAGCGCCACAGCUCAUUGACAAGGAAAUUGUACGCACCCUUUUAUCUCUGUGAAUGAUGAGAAUCACAACUCUAUAGCUUGGUUUCGGAGCACAUGUAACUAGUUUGUUCUACAUUUGCUCCUCUGGUAUCAUCAGUGUCCUUUGUGCCUAUUUUCGGAGCAGACGAACAAUUCCAGAAAAGAAAAUACACCUGCGCCACUAUAUUUACAUGCCGCUAGAUAAAUGUUGAAAAAAUAUUGAGCUCCAUGGGAUGUCAAAACAAGAGUUGAGCUCCACCUUGUACUUAAUGAUGGCACUCGUGCUCUGUCUCACUUAAUGCACAAGUGUGCGAUCAAACAGGGCAUGCCACUAACUCGUGGCUUCGUGUGGUUGUUUAUCACAAUUUUACCACAGUAGAAGUUUCAGAGACCAUGGUUAUGAUCAUAUUUGAGAACCAUGGUGGACUUUCUGAUGAUCCCCGUAUUUGCCUCGAACUAGUCAGGUGGCAUUAAUACAACAGCAGGACUCUUGGCAAAAUAGAAAAGUCUCCAUGGAUGACUUUGACUGUGACUCUGGAUGGGUGACACACGGAUACUUGUCUAAAUGACCAAACAUUUGAUAAAGACAUGCCAACUGUCCGAGCAGUAUGAAAAUAUUGACUAGUAAAUCUAAUAUUCAUAGUAAGUAGAUUCAAAUUUACUAUUGUUCCAUAGCAAAAUGCAUGUACAUUUACUUAUAUUUGCAUUUGUCUUCUUGCCUUGGAACUCCUUUAAUCCUUUUACCUUUUACAUGGCAUCCAAUAUAUGCGCACUCUACUCUGGCAAAGGUUGACAGUGAAAGUUGUUUUGGGCUUUCUAGAUGAACUUUGGUGGAGAAGCAGCACCGCAACUCAUCGGCAAGGGACGAUAUGCGCCCUUUUAUCUUGGUCAGUGAUGAUGAGAAUCAUAGCUGAUAGCUCCAUGCUUCAGUAAUCUUUCAGGAGACACGCAACCUGUUUAUUUGUACAUUUGCUCCAUGCUUCAGUCUGUAAUCGAAAACUGUUGCAUCUUAAACAUCCUUCAUGGUUGUGGAUUCUUCAUGGUUCUGAUAGUAUGGUGCAAAACUGGUUUUGUUUCCUUUCAAAACUGGGAGUUGCUUUACCCUUGUAAUCACUAGAAUAUCCGUUCAAAACUAACUGGUAGCAUUUGCACAUUAUUUUUUUAGGCUUGUUAGAGCAAUUACAGAUGCACGAGACACUGAAAUUUGCACAUCUGUAUGCCAGUUUUGGAGGGCUAACCUCGUCGAAGCCUGCACUGUCUUGGAGGACUCGGUACCUUGAGGUAUCGAGCAGAUGUGACCUCGGUACAUGUCCUCUGAGAGGAUCUUGAGCUGCAUCAUCAUCCCAUAGUUGGUUAGGUAUCGGGUACCCGCCUCCUGGAUGACGGUGCCAACUCUCAUCAGGAGAAGCUGCAACCUCUCCACCACCUUCUGCUCCUCUGAUUGUGCAUGGAUGGACGAGCGGUACUUGUUCAUCAGGAAGGAGAUGAGGUUUGCUGCCAGUUGGUCUGUGGACAAAUUUGACUAGGCUGGCCUCUGCCAAGUCUUGAAGAGACUCCUGGCAAAAUAGACAACUGUCCAAGCAGGAUGAGAAAAAGACUGACCCACCAGUAUUUGUAAUAUUCACGGUCGGUCCAGAUUGAUUAUUAUCCCAUGGCAAAAUGUAUAUUUGAUCAUCUUUACAUUUUUCUUUUGUUGGACUGCUUACAUUUUACAUACGGGGGAAUGACACUUUACUUACAGAUGUGCAACUUUUGACCAUGGUCCAUGGAAUUUGUUCCAGAUGAACUUCAGAGGAGACUGGAGAAGAGGCGGGUAAAUCAUCUGCAAAGGAAUACGAUACAGGCCCUUUUUAUCUUG